AGACCCGAAACCCGGUGAUCUAGCCAUGGGCAGGUUGAAGGUUGGGUAACACUAACUGGAGGACCGAACCGACUAAUGUUGAAAAAUUAGCGGAUGACCUGUGGCUGGGGGUGAAAGGCCAAUCAAACCGGGAGAUAGCUGGUUCUCCCCGAAAGCUAUUUAGGUAGCGCCUCGUGAAUUCAUCUCCGGGGGUAGAGCACUGUUUCGGCUAGGGGGCCAUCCCGGCUUACCAACCCGAUGCAAACUGCGAAUACCGGAGAAUGUUAUCACGGGAGACACACGGCGGGUGCUAACGUCCGUCGUGAAGAGGGAAACAACCCAGACCGCCAGCUAAGGUCCCAAAGUCAUGGUUAAGUGGGAAACGAUGUGGGAAGGCCCAGACAGCCAGGAUGUUGGCUUAGAAGCAGCCAUCAUUUAAAGAAAGCGUAAUAGCUCACUGGUCGAGUCGGCCUGCGCGGAAGAUGUAACGGGGCUAAACCAUGCACCGAAGCUGCGGCAGCGAACGUAUCACCCAAGACAACUUUACGGAGUUGGCGAUUGACGGAGCGAAGCGACGUCAAAGCGUUCAUUAAAGUCGAGUUGGCUUAGGGAUACGUUCGUUGGGUAGGGGAGCGUUCUGUAAGCCUGUGAAGGUGUGUCGUGAGGCAUGCUGGAGGUAUCAGAAGUGCGAAUGCUGACAUAAGUAACGAUAAAGCGGGUGAAAAGCCCGCUCGCCGGAAGACCAAGGGUUCCUGUCCAACGUUAAUCGGGGCAGGGUGAGUCGACCCCUAAGGCGAGGCCGAAAGGCGUAGUCGAUGGGAAACGGGUUAAUAUUCCCGUACUUGGUGUUACUGCGAAGGGGGGACGGAGAAGGCUAUGUUGGCCGGGCGACGGUUGUCCCGGUUUAAGCGUGUAGGUGUGUGUUCCAGGUAAAUCCGGUUCACUUUAACACUGAGGCGUGACGACGAGGCACUACGGUGCUGAAGCAACAAAUGCCCUGCUUCCAGGAAAAGCCUCUAAGCAUCAGGUAACACGAAAUCGUACCCCAAACCGACACAGGUGGUCAGGUAGAGAAUACCAAGGCGCUUGAGAGAACUCGGGUGAAGGAACUAGGCAAAAUGGUGCCGUAACUUCGGGAGAA
This 1120-nucleotide ribosomal RNA is filed under the name Salmonella enterica. RNAcentral's name for it is "partial 23S ribosomal RNA". It matches the Rfam family "Bacterial large subunit ribosomal RNA", at positions 711 to 1744 of the family's 2925-position model. The record is from RNAcentral. Lineage: Bacteria; Pseudomonadati; Pseudomonadota; Gammaproteobacteria; Enterobacterales; Enterobacteriaceae.